GAUGAAGAACGUAGCGAAAUGCGAUAAGUAAUGUGAAUUGCAGAAUUCAGUGAAUCAUCGAAUCUUUGAACGCACAUUGCGCCCGCCAGUAUUCUGGCGGGCAUGCCUGUUCGAGCGUCAUUACAACCCUCAUGCCCCCGGGCCUGGCGUUGGGGAUCGGCGGAAGCCCCCUGCGGGCACAACGCCGUCCCCCAAAUACAGUGGCGGUCCCGCCGCAGCUUCCAUUGCGUAGUAGCUAACACCUCGCAACUGGAGAGCGGCGCGGCCACGCCGUAAAACACCCAACUUCUGAAUGUUGACCUCGAAUCAGGUAGGAAUACCCGCUGAACUUAAGCAUAUCAAUAAGCGGAGGA
This 353-nucleotide unclassified non-coding RNA is filed under the name soil metagenome. RNAcentral describes it as "partial contains 5.8S ribosomal RNA, internal transcribed spacer 2, and large subunit ribosomal RNA". The stretch from base 1 to 120 matches the Rfam family "5.8S ribosomal RNA", at positions 35 to 154 of the family's 154-position model. The record is from RNAcentral.